GUAAUAAUUUUUGCCCAUUAAGGAAGCGUUCGGGAACAAAUUGUGACAAAUGAUCCCUGACAGGAAACUAUUUUAAAUCCUUGGUAUAUCUUUAUCUCUAAAUUGAUUUUCGUCCCGAGUGAAUGGAGCAAGUAUAAUUGGAAGGGGUUGUCGACAAGGAAGGAAAAAGUUCCUUUCGACCAUAAACCGAGAUUCCAGAGCACCAACAAGCUACUUUUCACCGUCGUUGUUAUGCUCAUUUUCAAAGUUCAUU
Belonocnema kinseyi is the source of this 253-nucleotide long non-coding RNA. RefSeq lists it as uncharacterized. The transcript has 3 exons. NCBI's taxonomy places the organism in Eukaryota, Metazoa, Arthropoda, Insecta, Hymenoptera, Cynipidae. The record is from RefSeq and is a predicted model, not a curated record.